CAGAACGGCGAUGGCCGGAUCACCAAAAAGGAGCUCAACCAUUCCUUAGAGAAAAUGGGUAUUUUCAUACCCGACACGGAGUUGACUCAAAUGAUCGAAAAAAUCGAUGUUAAUGCAGAUGGGUGUGUGGAUAUUGAUGAAUUUGAUUCGUUGUACCAAACGAUAAUGAACGAGAAGGACGAGGAUGAAGAUAUGAGAGAUGCAUUCAAUGUGUUUGAUCAAAAUGGUGAUGGGUUUAUCACCGUUGAUGAACUGAAAUCGGUUUUGGCAUCACUUGGCCUUAAGCAAGGAAGAACUGCAGAGGAUUGUAAGACGAUGAUAAUGAAG
RNAcentral lists this long non-coding RNA (327 nucleotides) under Olea europaea (common olive). RNAcentral's name for it is "long non-coding RNA (OEUR_LNC013861)". Lineage: Eukaryota; Viridiplantae; Streptophyta; Magnoliopsida; Lamiales; Oleaceae. The record is from RNAcentral.